Molecule: ribosomal RNA, 778 nt
Filed under: uncultured Neocallimastigales
Lineage: Eukaryota; Fungi; Neocallimastigomycota; Neocallimastigomycetes; Neocallimastigales
Description: partial large subunit ribosomal RNA
Rfam family: Eukaryotic large subunit ribosomal RNA
Source: RNAcentral
CGAGCACGCGCGUGUGGCAUAUCAAUAAGCGGAGGAAAAGAAACUAACAAGGAUUCCCUUAGUAACGGCGAGUGAAGCGGGAAGAGCUCAAAUUUGAAAUCUUCAAGGUUCUACCUCGACGAAUUGUAGUUUAUAGAAGUGUUUUCUGUUAGUGGAGUGGCAAAAGUUCUUUGGAAUAGGACAUCAUAGAGGGUGAGAAUCCCGUAUUUGGUCAUUCCUCCUAGCGUUGUGAUACACUUUCAACGAGUCGGAUUGUUUGGGAAUGCAGUCCAAAAUGGGUGGUAAAUUUCAUCUAAAGCUAAAUAUUGGCGAGAGACCGAUAGCGAACAAGUACCGUGAGGGAAAGAUGAAAAGAACUUUGAAAAGAGAGUUAAACAGUACGUGAAAUUGUCAAAAGGGAAGCGUUUGACACCAGUGUUGUUUUUCCGAAAAUCAAUUACGAAUGUUUUAUUUUUGAGGAGUUAUGACUUCAUCGGCUUGCUUCUUUCUUUACGAAACUUUCUUAAUGCACUUUUCGGUUAACAAGUCAACAUCAAUUUCUUUUGCUGUAAAAGGGUACUGAGGAAGGUGGCUUUCUUUUCGGAGAAAGUGUUUAUAGCCUUGUAGCCUCUGCAAUCGGAGAGAUUGAGGUCUGCAGCGUAGAUCCUUCGGGGUUAGAUACAGUUUGUGCUAAGUUAUAGCUUUGUCAUAGACAACUUGUUGACUAUGCUCAGUCAUGUAGCUUACUCGCUGAUGCUAUUUUACCUACGCUUAGGAUGUUGAUGUGAUACUGCGAGCA